This 409-nucleotide long non-coding RNA is filed under the name Penaeus japonicus. Its description in RNAcentral is "uncharacterized LOC122245631". The record is from RNAcentral. Lineage: Eukaryota; Metazoa; Arthropoda; Malacostraca; Decapoda; Penaeidae.
CUUACUGACGUCAGGACGCUUACAGUUUUCAACCGUAUUUGCUUGAGUCGUGUGAUGUAUGCCGACUCGUACCACUUGUUUUCAACGCCUCGACCUCGUGGGACGAGGAUGAAGUGUAUGUUAUCGACGACAAAGUGAACGUCACGUGCACCGAAAAUAGCGUUUUUUCGCUAGGAAAUGAUCGUAGGGAAAUACUGUGCACAGAGUUUGGAUGGGAAGUGGCUCCAGAUUGUCACAAAGCUUGCACCAAAGACCCACCUGAAGCCGGAAGUAACAUGACGAUGCUAAACUUCAGUUCCAAUUUCAUCGGCGAUGAAGUUACGUACGUGUGUGAGCCUGGAUUCUUCAUCCCAAGCGUGAGUUAGCCUAAGUAUCCACUCAUUUUGAAAACGGAGAAAAUAUCAUAAGU